GGGUGUAGCUCCAAUUGGCAGAGCAGCGGAUUCCCCUGAUUUUGGGAAUUGGCGCGUGUUGGGAGUUUGAAUCUCUUCAAGACCCA
This 86-nucleotide transfer RNA is filed under the name Vibrio sp. ABG19. Its description in RNAcentral is "tRNA-OTHER". Lineage: Bacteria; Pseudomonadati; Pseudomonadota; Gammaproteobacteria; Vibrionales; Vibrionaceae. The record is from RNAcentral.